RNAcentral lists this long non-coding RNA (3478 nucleotides) under Daucus carota (carrot). RNAcentral's name for it is "long non-coding RNA (DCAR_LNC001302)". The record is from RNAcentral. Lineage: Eukaryota; Viridiplantae; Streptophyta; Magnoliopsida; Apiales; Apiaceae.
GAACAUUUGGACUUAUUAAACGGUUACCUAGUUUCCACUUCAUAGCAUAUAGAUAAUAUAUCGUAGUUAGUUUUGUUACGUUGUGCUGAAUUCAUAUAUGCUUUAAGGUGGAAAUUACCCCACUAAUGUCAGUUUUUGGACUGUCAUGAUCAUCGAUAGUCAUUAGGAGCUGAACAAAACACCCCAAGAACAAAAGCAACCAAAAAUGAAAUGCUCAUAUAUAAGAUUCUCAUUUUUGGUCCAAUUUUGAGGUUUAAUGCUUAUCACUUAAUGCAGCUUUCUUAUGUUGAUGUGUACCUCAAAAUGUAAUAUUUACUGUAAGAUGGUUCAGUGAUCAAUUCUUGAUUCAAUUUUGUGUGAAUGGGAGAAAUCUUUACUCUGGCCGGGAAUAAAUAUUAUUAAGUUACGCUCUAAAUUUGUAAUUACGAAGUUGUCCUGCCCUCCUCCAUCCUCACCUCUCUCUCCUCUCUAAUUUUAGGUUUCUCAUGGGAGUCAUUCCUCGAAGAGAGUCUUCCGCAGGGUCAAUAAACAAGCUGCUUUGCCUUUUGCUGAACGCACUCUUGCCAAAUGCCUAGAGUUUGAAGAUACUGGGAGGAACUGCUUUAGAAAAGCUCUUCUAGUUCAUCAGUGGCUAUUGGGAGCGAUGUUGCAAGGGGAAAUGAGGAGCCGCACAAUGUAGGAAAGAAUCCUGUGAAUCCUUCAACAAAACAACCAACUGAAUCUGUUUCAUUUGAGCGAAGAAACUCUGCUUCUCUAAUGGACUUGGACGAAGGUGGUAUGCAAGACCACGACUGGCAUGGUCUUGCCGUACCAAUGGAUAACCUCUCAGAUGUCCAUUUUGAUUUCUGGUUUUAAAACUCCAACUAGCAAAUUGUCUAGUUUAAGGUUAGACGCUUGAUAUUUGUUUACAUUUACAGCAUGACCUGCUCCAUUACAUGUUGGAAGAGCAUGAGGUCAUAUUUGUUUUCAAGUCUCGGUACUAGUAUUUCCGGAUAUGUUCAUUUUGGACGAUGUUAAUGUGUUCCAAUUUUCUAUAAUUUUGCCAGAACUAUGAUUUCUUUAAUCUUUUGGUAGGCUUAAAUGAUGCAAUGUUAUAAUUGUUGGAUGCUGUUCAUUCUCGCGCACAAGUGAUCUGUGUGUCUACGUGAUGCUGUCCAGACAUGAAUUCGAUUCUCAACGCAACUUUGCUUACUCAGGUUCUAUUUCACACUACUUUACUAUGAACAAUAUCUUUGUUUGUUUAUGAUUUUCACCAUUUGAGCUAUUAUUUUGUAAUAUAACACCUUUGAUCGUAGUAAUAUCGUGAGUAAUUGAGUUAUAGGUUAGUUUAUUGCUAAAUCGGGACUUGAUUCUUGCUGGAAGUGUUUAAUUAUGAGUGCAUCAUGUUUUGAUACAAAGUCUUUUUACAUUUCUUAUGAUGUUUUGAGCUAUUAUUUUGUAUUAUUCAGCUUUGAUUGUAGUAAUUGAGUUCUUGGUGUAUUGGGUUCUUACUAAAUUCUUGCUUCAAGUGUUGCAUACGAUCUUCAUGAAGUCCAAUAGAGAAGCGGAGUCUCUCCGCUCAAAUGAGAUGGAUUGAGUUGGUUGUUUUGUUCUUUUUUAGAUUCCAUGUUAGUAUUAUGUAUGUAGCGAUGAUUAAUAUUUAUAAAAUACAGCUCUAUCAUGAUCCAGAAGAUUCCAGUCUCAUAUUUUACGAGUUUCUCAUGAAAGUGAUAUCAUACAUAGCUUGAAAGUUUGAUGUAUUUAUUUUAAAAUUGCUUUAUCAUAUUAUUAUUAAUUUUAGGAUUCAUGUGCAGGUGGAAAUCUUGCAGUAAACAAUAAAGAAAAUGCUCCACAAAUAUCUAAAAUCGAAGAAGCCAAUGACUCAUUGGCGGCCUCAGGUAAAAAUGUAUUCACAUUACAUAGCAUGUUUAAUUCGUAUGAAAUAAUAAUGGUUCAAAUGUUAUGAGUGAUAUUUUGAAGGCUCAAGAUUCUCUCUGUUCUACAUUCAAUGUAGUAGCUGAGCAAGCUGCUCUAACAAUGUAGUUCUAUUCAUUUUCUUAAAUAUUUACAAAUAUACAGGCACAGAAGAAGAAACAAUACAUUGCAAACAUUUAUGAAUCUAUUCAACAUGGAAAGGAUGCGGAGAAAAGGUAUCGUUGCGUUCAACCUUAGUUUGAUGAUGCUCUUAUGGCCUCUUUUACAGAUAAGACAAUUAGGUUUGACUGCAGGAAUCUGGAGCAGGCCGCUAUGAGUAAAUUGAUUGAAAUGGCCUACAAAAGACAAAGGGUAAUAGUAUCUUUUUCAUCUGUUUAUUAAUUUUCUUUUCAUUAUUGCUAUCAGUGACCAAGUUAUAUUGAAUUUUAGGAAUCUUGGCACUAUAUACCAAGAAGCAAAUCAUGCAUCUUUCUAUUUAAACUGUACAUUCUAUGGUUAAUAGAAAUUUAAGUAAUUGCUAUGGAUGCAUACACUACACUUGCACUAAUAAUAUAUGAAAAAGAUGUGCAAGCAUUAGAUGGUCUCUGGCUCUCUCUGCCCAUGUGCAGGAGGGUCAUAGUCAUGUUAUACUGUUUGACUCUUAGAAGUUGAUAGAGAAAAGCUCAGAAGGUAGAAAGAAAUGGAACAAUAUAUACACCUCAUUGUACUUGCUAAAACUAUGUUCUUGAGUUGAUAAAUUUGGAUGGUGAAAGUCCUGAGAGUUACGGCCUUUGACUUUAUAUCGAAGUCGUGCUUAAUAUUUUCUUUCAAUUUCUGCCUCUUUUUUUAAAUGGCAACGACCUGCUAUAUCAUAGUUGGAUGCAGUGAAACCCUAUAAGCGAGAUCUAAAAAUCAGUUUCCUGCUGCUAUUUAUCAUGAUAGAGUCAGAAGUAUGAAAUUUUUGUAGACACUAAUGAUUUUCCAUGAGCNGUGCUUAAUAUUUUCUUUCAAUUUCUGCCUCUUUUUUUAAAUGGCAACGACCUGCUAUAUCAUAGUUGGAUGCAGUGAAACCCUAUAAGCGAGAUCUAAAAAUCAGUUUCCUGCUGCUAUUUAUCAUGAUAGAGUCAGAAGUAUGAAAUUUUUGUAGACACUAAUGAUUUUCCAUGAGCCAGUCUAUAUCCUGAGAGCUUAAAAUAUUAUGCAUAUGUCCUAACAUGUUGUGGUAGAUUGUGUUUUGACUGUCACUCAUAUUUCAUGGGUUUUCUUGUUACACUUGAUUAACAGAGUCAAUUAUACUAUUAGUAACUAUCAAAUCAAUUUUUUACCCUAAUAAGAAAUAUGCAUCACCCCUUGAACUUUUAGAACAUUUGGACUUAUUAAACGGUUACCUAGUUUCUACUUCAUAGCAUAUGGAUAAUAUAUAUCGUUGUUACUUAGUUUUGUUACGUUUUGCUGAAUUCAUAUAUGCUUUAAGGUGGAAAUUACCCCGACUAAUGUCAGUUUUUGGACUGUCAUGAUCAUCGGUAGUCAUUAGGUGCUGAACAAAAGAGUCCAAGAACAAAAGCAACCAAAAAUGAAAUGCUCA